Molecule: ribosomal RNA, 497 nt
Filed under: uncultured bacterium
Lineage: Bacteria
Description: partial 16S ribosomal RNA
Rfam family: Bacterial small subunit ribosomal RNA
Source: RNAcentral
GAUGAACGCUGGCGGCGUGCCUAAUACAUGCCAGUCGAGCGAACGGACGAGAAGCUUGCUUCUCUGAUGUUAGCGGCGGACGGGUGAGUAACACGUGGAUAACCUACCUAUAAGACUGGGAUAACUUCGGGAAACCGGAGCUAAUACCGGAUAAUAUUUUGAACCGCAUGGUUCAAAAGUGAAAGACGGUCUUGCUGUCACUUAUAGAUGGAUCCGCGCUGCAUUAGCUAGUUGGCAAGGUACCGGCUUACCAAGGCAACAAUGCAUAGCCAACCUGAGAGGGUGAUCGCCCACCCAGGAACUGAGACACGGUCCAGACUCCUACGGGAGGCAGCAGUAGGGAAUCUUCCGCAAUGGGCGAAAGCCUGACGGAGCAACGCCGCGUGAGUAAUGAGGGUCUUCGGAUCGUAAGACUCUGUUAUUAGGAAAGAACAUAUGUAUAAGUAACAGUGCACAUCUUGACGGUACCUGAUCAGAAAGCCACGGCUAACUACGUG